AUGCACUUGCUGACUGUCGGCUCCGAGCAACAAACCUGGUUCCCAUGCUCAAGUAGGGAGAAGGCAUCAUAUGAAGGACUGAGUAAAAGGACAAGGUUCUGCAGCAUCUGCAAAUUGCUAGGUCAUAAGAAGACUACCUGCCCUGAGGGAGGUGACAUGCUAAACGGCCUCGCAAACCUGCAAGUGCAAGAAUUGUGGCAUCGCUGGACACGGUCGCACUACGUGCGCCAUGCUGCUGGGUGUUGCUGCAUCUUAAGAGUUCCGACAGUCAUGUACGAUAACUCUGAAUUUCAAAUUUGA
This 300-nucleotide ribosomal RNA is filed under the name Triticum aestivum (bread wheat). RNAcentral's name for it is "partial small subunit ribosomal RNA". Lineage: Eukaryota; Viridiplantae; Streptophyta; Magnoliopsida; Poales; Poaceae. The record is from RNAcentral.